GACGAACGCUGGCGGCGCGCCUAACACAUGCAAGUCGAACGAGCGAGAGAGAGCUUGCUUUCUUGAGCGAGUGGCGAACGGGUGAGUAACGCGUGAGGAACCUGCCUCAAAGAGGGGGACAACAGUUGGAAACGACUGCUAAUACCGCAUAAGCCCACGGUGCCGCAUGGCACAGAGGGAAAAGGAGCAAUCCGCUUUGAGAUUGCCUCGCGUCCGAUUAGCUAGUUGGUGAGGUAACGGCCCACCAAGGCGACGAUCGGUAGCCGGACUGAGAGGUUUCACGGCCACAUUGGGACUGAGACACGGCCCAGACUCCUACGGGAGGCAGCAGUGGGGAAUAUUGCACAAUGGGGGAAACCCUGAUGCAGCGACGCCGCGUGGAGGAAGAAGGUCUUCGGAUUGUAAACUCCUGUUGUUGGGGAAGAUAAUGACGGUACCCAACAAGGAAGUGACGGCUAACUACGUG
Molecule: ribosomal RNA, 466 nt
Filed under: uncultured bacterium
Lineage: Bacteria
Description: partial 16S ribosomal RNA
Rfam family: Bacterial small subunit ribosomal RNA
Source: RNAcentral